GACGAACGCUGGCGGCGUGCUUAACACAUGCAAGUCGAACGGAAAGGCCCUGCUUUUGUGGGGUGCUCGAGUGGCGAACGGGUGAGUAACACGUGAGUAACCUGCCCUUGACUUUGGGAUAACUUCAUGAAACUGGGGCUAAUACCGGAUAUGAGCUCCUGCUGCAUGGUGGGGGUUGGAAAGUUUCGGCGGUUGGGGAUGGACUCGCGGCUUAUCAGCUUGUUGGUGGGGUAGUGGCUUACCAAGGCUUUGACGGGUAGCCGGCCUGAGAGGGUGACCGGCCACAUUGGGACUGAGAUACGGCCCAGACUCCUACGGGAGGCAGCAGUGGGGAAUAUUGCACAAUGGGCGGAAGCCUGAUGCAGCCACGCCGCGUGCGGGAUGACGGCCUUCGGGUUGUAAACCGCUUUCGCCUGUGACGAAGCGUGAGUGACGGUAAUGGGUAAAGAAGCACCGGCUAACUACGUG
This 468-nucleotide ribosomal RNA is filed under the name uncultured bacterium. Its description in RNAcentral is "partial 16S ribosomal RNA". It matches the Rfam family "Bacterial small subunit ribosomal RNA", at positions 28 to 507 of the family's 1533-position model. The record is from RNAcentral.